Molecule: ribosomal RNA, 253 nt
Filed under: uncultured bacterium
Lineage: Bacteria
Description: partial 16S ribosomal RNA
Rfam family: Bacterial small subunit ribosomal RNA
Source: RNAcentral
UACGUAGGGCGCAAGCGUUGUCCGGAAUCAUUGGGCGUAAAGAGCUCGUAGGCGGCCUGUCGCGUCUGCUGUGAAAUCCCGGGGCUUAACCCCGGGCGUGCAGUGGAUACGGGCUGGCUGGAGGCAGGCAGGGGAGAACGGAAUUCCCGGUGUAGCGGUGAAAUGCGCAGAUAUCGGGAGGAACACCGGUGGCGAAGGCGGUUCUCUGGGCCUGUACUGACGCUGGGGAGCGAAAGCGUGGGGAGCGAACAGG